Molecule: ribosomal RNA, 22 nt
Filed under: Cladosporium cladosporioides
Lineage: Eukaryota; Fungi; Ascomycota; Dothideomycetes; Cladosporiales; Cladosporiaceae
Also listed under: 9 other names
Description: partial 18S ribosomal RNA
Source: RNAcentral
GUGAACCUGCGGAGGGAUCAUU